AAGAGUUCAUUUUGCAAAUAUUUACUCUCUCUUAUCCCACAUACUUUACACUCUCUCACCUUCAUGCAAGAAACAAGAAUAGCGCGCUAGGAAACCGUCGAGUGCAUGAUGGUGGGCAAUGGCGCACCCAAUGACGACCAAAAAGGCCACGGUGGCGCCACCGCCGAAGUUGAAAACAACUCAUCCUAAGGUUAAAUCCAACCCUGAGUUCAAAAUUGAACUCAAAAUCACCAAAAUCAAAUCUCUACCUACCAAAAUAACCUGGAAGAUCCAAAACCCCAAUGUCUAAACCUUAUUGAAAUCAAAGUUUAACAACAAUCAAGCACAAAUUCAAAGGGUGCGAAGCAAUCAACAACAAAUCAGUGAAGAAAAAAAUGAAAGGGUGAAAAACAUCUACCUCUCCAUGUUCAAUGAAGCGAAGAUAAUUCAGGUAAACAACCCUAUAUCCUCUACUUUUUGUUCCUCUGUUCUUUUCUGCUUCUUUUGCUUUAUGAAAUUUCUCCUUCUUUUGAUUGUGUGGUUGUUGACUUCUGCUCUAAUAUUGUUAUGUAGUCGAUUAGGUGUUGCUUGUGUCCUUGGUAUGUGUAUGAAUAUGGUGACUAAGGUUUUUUUGUUUUUCUUUGGAGGCUGCUAAUUUUUCGAAUCCCCCCUCUGCUUUGUGUACUAUUGAUUUAUAUAGCCAUGAUUAGUAUUUAGGAUGAGGUUAAAAGGAAAUGUGAUGAGUUAUGUAUUUGAUGGAAGUUGGAGUGAUGUAGAAGAAUCAAAAUGUAUUUGUUGUGUUUUUUUUUCGUUUUUAUGAAAUUCUUUGUUGUACCAUAUGUUGCUUUGUCCCUCACAAUACUCUCUUUUUUUUAAAUUUGAAUAAGGAAACUAUUAUUGCUGUAAAAUCGACCACCACCAUCUUUUUACUGUUGUUAAUUUUUGUUUUUGUUUUGGAUUUGUUUGGUUUAGGUUGAUAUGGAUUAGGAGAAAAGAUAUUAGCCUUGCCUUGCUUGCAUAAAUCCCUUUUUUGUGUUUGCUACAAACUUUGAACAUGGGUUGGGAUUGUUUUUUUCUAACUGAAAUCUCUUUCUUUCUUGUUAGGUUCUUGAAUGAGAAUGGACAUGGCUAUAAGAGGGAGAUUUUGGUGAUGAUUUGAAGACUUUGAAGGUGAACCAAAAGUUGUAGAUAGUGCUUGGAAUGGAAGCUUUGAAGACCCUUUUUAGAAUUAUGUUUGGUUAUUGAAACUUGUAAUGUAUAUUCAUGGAUGCACCAAAUCCACCUCACGCAAAAAAAAUGUUAAUUUUCAAUCUUUUCAAGAAUUCUACUUAUGAUGUAACAAAAAUCUAAACAACAUACUCUAGAAAUAAAUGGUAUUGAAAUCAACUUGAAUUAUUUGAGUAUGAGUCAAAAGAAAAUAUGGAAAACCAAAGAUGCACCAAAUUCAAAGUUAA
RNAcentral lists this long non-coding RNA (1433 nucleotides) under Lathyrus oleraceus (garden pea). RNAcentral's name for it is "Pisum sativum (pea) long non-coding RNA (PSAT_LNC042138)". Lineage: Eukaryota; Viridiplantae; Streptophyta; Magnoliopsida; Fabales; Fabaceae. The record is from RNAcentral.